This 671-nucleotide ribosomal RNA is filed under the name uncultured prokaryote. RNAcentral describes it as "bacterial SSU rRNA". It matches the Rfam family "Bacterial small subunit ribosomal RNA", at positions 797 to 1482 of the family's 1533-position model. The record is from RNAcentral.
ACNCCGUAAACGAUGAAUGCUAGCUGUUAGCGAUAUACUGUUAGCGGCACAGAGAAAUCGUUAAGCAUUCCACCUGGGGAGUACGCCGGCAACGGUGAAACUCAAAGGAAUUGACGGGGGCCCGCACAAGCGGAGGAACAUGUGGUUUAAUUCGAUGAUACGCGAGGAACCUUACCUGGGCUUAAAUUGCAGUGGAAUAACGUGGAAACAUGUUAGCCUUCGGGCCGCUGUGAAGGUGCUGCAUGGUUGUCGUCAGCUCGUGCCGUGAGGUGUCGGCUUAAGUGCCAUAACGAGCGCAACCCUCAUCGAUAGUUACUAACAGGUUAAGCUGAGGACUCUAUCGAGACUGCCGACGUAAGUCGUGAGGAAGGUGGGGAUGACGUCAAAUCAGCACGGCCCUUACGUCCAGGGCUACACACGUGUUACAAUGGGGGGUACAAAGGGCAGCUACCUGGCGACAGGAUGCUAAUCUCAAAAACCUCUCUCAGUUCGGAUUGGAGUCUGCAACCCGACUCCAUGAAGCUGGAUUCGCUAGUAAUCGCGCAUCAGCCACGGCGCGGUGAAUACGUUCCCGGGCCUUGUACACACCGCCCGUCAAGCCAUGGGAGCCGGGGGGACCUGAAGUAUGCAACCGUAAGGAGCGUCCUAGGGUAAAACUGGUGACUGGGGCU